CGGGACGGGUGAGUAAUGCUUGGGAAUCUGGCUUAUGGAGGGGGAUAACUACAGGAAACUGUAGCUAAUACCGCGUAAUAUCGAAAGAUUAAAGUGUGGGACCUUCGGGCCACAUGCCAUGGGAUGAGCCCAAGUGGGAUUAGGUAGUUGGUGGGGUAAAGGCCUACCAAGCCUGCGAUCUCUAGCUGGUCUGAGAGGAUGGCCAGCCACACUGGAACUGAGACACGGUCCAG
Molecule: ribosomal RNA, 233 nt
Filed under: uncultured bacterium
Lineage: Bacteria
Description: partial 16S ribosomal RNA
Rfam family: Bacterial small subunit ribosomal RNA
Source: RNAcentral